Zea mays is the source of this 241-nucleotide long non-coding RNA. RefSeq lists it as uncharacterized. The transcript is spliced from 3 exons. The record is from RefSeq and is a predicted model, not a curated record. NCBI's taxonomy places the organism in Eukaryota, Viridiplantae, Streptophyta, Magnoliopsida, Poales, Poaceae.
AGUAGUCGAGGCUGAGUGAGCUCUACGACAUAAAGCAAAAUUGGAAAGGCACCAACGCACAGCUGAGCGAGCGGCGAAAGCCCUUGCUGAAAAGAACAUGCGGGAUAUGCUGGUGCAGAGGGAGCAUGCUGAGAAACAUACUGGCUGAAUUUCUUGAUCCUGAAGUCAAGAGAUGGUCAAAUGGAAAAGAAGGAAAUCUGUGAGCAUUGCUGUCCACAUUGCAAUAUGUACGUGUUUUGGC